AAGCACAACCACCAUGACUCUCAUCACCAUCCUCAUCUGGACGCUGACCUGCUGCUGUUUUACAGGAUGCAGCGGUCAGGUGACUGUGACUCAACCUCCAGUAGUGACAUCUACUCCUGGAUCCACUGUCACUCUGACCUGUAGGACCAGCCAACCUGUUAACAUAUUAGUUGAUGUUGACAUGUCUACUAUGUACUGGUAUCAGCAGAAAUCUGGACAGGCUCCAAAGCUCCUAAUAAAAAAUGUGAAAACACUUGAGUCAGGAACACCAACUCGAUUUAGUGGCAGUGGAAGCAGCUCUGACUUCUCUAUGACCAUCAGUGGAGUUCAGGCUGAAGUUGCAGCAGUUUAUUACUGUAUGAGUAUCCACAACAUAAACAGUGCUAUGUGGUUGACUUUUGGUGGAGGAACCAAACUCAUCGUUGACUCUGGCCCCAUGGUCAGACCCUCAGUCUCUCUGCUUCAACCCUCCUCUGAGAAGCUCUCUGGAGGCCCAGUCACACUGGCCUGCCUGCUGACCGGCUACUCUCCUCAGGGAGCUGAAGUGAGAUGGGAAGUAGAUGGCACAGAGGUGACAGAGGGGGUCCUGAACAGCUUAGAAGAAGAGAAGAGUAGUCGCUACAGCAGCAGCAGCACGCUGAUGCUGAGCCAAGAAAACUGGAUGAACGCAGAGGUGUUCUCCUGCAGGGUGAACCAUCAUGACGACCGGCAGGCCAAGUCCUUCCGCAAGAACCGGUGUGAGGGCUAGAGGGGCUGCU
Pelmatolapia mariae (spotted tilapia) is the source of this 758-nucleotide non-coding RNA. The record is from the annotation of a RefSeq genome assembly. NCBI's taxonomy places the organism in Eukaryota, Metazoa, Chordata, Actinopteri, Cichliformes, Cichlidae.